RNAcentral lists this ribosomal RNA (253 nucleotides) under uncultured bacterium. Its description in RNAcentral is "partial 16S ribosomal RNA". It matches the Rfam family "Bacterial small subunit ribosomal RNA", at positions 524 to 776 of the family's 1533-position model. The record is from RNAcentral.
UACGGGGGGGGCAAGCGUUGUUCGGAAUUACUGAGCGUAAAGGGCUCGUAGGCGGCCAACUAAGUCGGAUGUGAAAUCCCCAGGCUUAACCUGGGAACUGCAUCCGAUACUGGAUGGCUUGAAUCCGGGAGAGGGAUGCAGAAUUCCAGGUGUAGCGGUGAAAUGCGUAGAUAUCUGGAGGAAUACCGGUGGCGAAGGCGGCAUCCUGGACCGGCAUUGACGCUGAGGAGCGAAAGCUAGGGGAGCAAACGGG